This 3930-nucleotide ribosomal RNA is filed under the name Mallomonas alpina. Its description in RNAcentral is "bacterial LSU rRNA". The stretch from base 1 to 2626 matches the Rfam family "Bacterial large subunit ribosomal RNA". The record is from RNAcentral. Lineage: Eukaryota; Synurophyceae; Synurales; Mallomonadaceae.
GCGAAGAAGGACGUGGCUACCGGCGAAACGUUUCGGGGAGUUGGAAGUAAGCUUUGAUCCGAAAGUAUCCGAAUGAGGAAACUCAAUAACUUCUUACUGAAUCUAUAAGUAAAGAAAGAGCAAACCUAGGGAACUGAAACAUCUUAGUACCUAGAGGAAAAGAAAGUAAAAACGAUUCCCUGAGUAGUGGCGAACGAAACGGGAAGAGCCUAAACUUUUUAAAAUUGUAUGAUUUUGAAAAGGGUUGUGGGAAGAAUAAGUUUUUCGUUCUUUAAAAAACGAAAACUAAAAAAGAAACUCAAGCAAAAGCUAAGUCUUUUUAAGAAAUUAGGUGAAAUAAUUGGAAAGUUAUACCAAAGAAAGUGAUAGUCUUGUAACCAAAAAUUUCUUUACUAUAAUUUAUUCCCGAGUAGCAUGGGGCACGUGGAAUCCCGUGUGAAUCUGCGAGGACCACCUCGUAAGGCUAAAUAUUCCUGAAUGUCCGAUAGCGUAUAGUACCGCGAGGGAAAGGUGAAAAGAACCCCGGGAGGGGAGUGAAAUAGAACGUGAAAUUGCAAGCCCACAAACAGAAAGAGAACGACUUAGCGUUUAAUUUCGUGCCUGUUGAAGAAUGUUCCGGCGACUUAUAGUUAGUGGCAGGUUAAGAGAGAGAUCUCGGAGCCAGAGUGAAAGCGAGCUUGAAUAGAGCGUUCGUCACUAAUUAUAGACCCGAACCCGGUUGAUCUAACCAUGGCCAGGAUGAAACUUAGGUAAUACUAAGUGGAGGUCCGAACCGACUGAUGUUGAAAAAUCAGCGGAUGAGUUGUGGUUAGGGGUGAAAUGCCAAUCGAAACCGGAGCUAGCUGGUUCUCCCCGAAAUGUAUUUAGGUGCAGCGGUUAAUAUUAUAGCGUAGGGGUAAAGCACUGUUUCGGUGCGGGCUGGUAAUUCGGUACCAAAUCGAGGCAAACUCUGAAUACUACGUGCACAGUUAACCAGUAAGACUAUGGGGGAUAAGCUUCAUAGUCAAGAGGGAAACAGCCCAGAUCACCAGCUAAGGCCCCUAAAUAAUGACUAAGUGAUAAAGGAAGUGGAAAGGCUUAGACAACCAGGAGGUUUGCUUAGAAGCAGCAAUCCUUUAAAAAGUGCGUAAUAGCUUACUGGUCUAGCAAUUCUGCGCCGAAAACUUAUGGGACUAAGUCAUUUGCCGAAGCUGUGAGAUAGAAAGAUAUCUUUCUAUCGGUAGGGGAGCGUUCUGUUGUAGAGUGAAGUAUUAGCGAAAGCGGGUAUGGACGAAACAGAAGUGAGAAUGUCGGAUUGAGUAGCGAAAACAUUGGUGAGAAUCCAAUGCUCCGAAAACCUAAGGUUUCCUCCGCAAGGCUCGUCCACGGAGGGUUAGUCAGGACCUAAGAUGAGGCUGAGAAGCGUAGUCGAUGGAGAAUUGGUCAAUAUUCCAAUACUCGGUUCUAGCAGGUAUCGAGGGACGAAGAAGGCUAAACUAGCCAGAUAUUGGUUACUGGUUUAAGUAGUUAAUUCGAAUGAAAGAGAAUCAGAUGAACUUCGUUCAAAAGAGAAAUUUUGAGUUGGGAUUAUUUAUGAGGUGUUGAGGAUUAGAGAAAAUAAUCUGAGCUGAAAUACGAAUACAAGAUUUUUAAAAUCAAAGUAGUUGAUGUCAUACUUCCAAGAAAAGCUCGCUAUGCCUUAUGCUAGAAUCACCUGUACCAGAAACCGACACAGGUAGGUAGGUAGAGAAUACCAAGGAGCGCGGGAGAACCCUCCUUAAGGAACUCGGCAAAAUAGCUCUGUAACUUCGGAAGAAAGAGUGCCUUUUAGGCUGCAAUAUCAAGUUCCAAGCAACUGUUUAGCAAAAACACAGGUCUCCGCAAAGUGGUAACACGACGUAUGGGGGCUGACGCCUGCCCAGUGCUGGAAGGUUAAAGAAGUCGGUUAGCGCAAGCAAAGCUGGUAACUGAAGCCCCAGUGAACGGCGGCCGUAACUAUAACGGUCCUAAGGUAGCGAAAUUCCUUGUCAGGUAAGUUCUGACCCGCACGAAUGGCGUAAUGAUUUGGAAGCUGUCUCGAGGAGGGACUCGGUGAAAUAGAACUAGCUGUGAAGAUGCGGCUUACCUGCGCCUGGACAGUAAGACCCUAUGAAGCUUUACUGUAUCCUGAAAUUGGAUUUCGAUUUUAUUUGCGCAGAAUAGGUGGGAGACGGUGAAAUCUUUCUUUUGGGAAGGAUGGAGUCAUUAGUGAGAUACCACUCUGAUAAAAUUAAAAUUCUAACUUCAUACCGUAAGCCGGUUGAAAGACAGUUUCAGGUGGGCAGUUUGACUGGGGCGGUCGCCUCCCAAAAGGUAACGGAGGCGUACAAAGGUUUCCUCAGAUCGGUCAGAAAUCGAUCUUUGAGUGCAAAGGCAAAAGGAAGCUUAACUGUGAGACAAACAAGUCGAGCAGAGACGAAAGUCGGUCUUAGUGAUCUGACGAUGCUGUGUGGAAAGGUCGUCACUCAACGGAUAAAAGUUACUCUAGGGAUAACAGGCUGAUCUCCCCCAAGAGUUCCUAUCGACGGGGAGGUUUGGCACCUCAAUUGGGGGCAUAUAUGUAGUAAUACGAUAUGACAAUUUGGCUGUAUGCUGGAAACUCCGUUCAUUAAAUUGAUGUAGUAUCCUAAAGUACUCUUGAAUUUUUCAAAGUAAAAAUCUUUAGGUGCGGACAAUCAGCAGGGAAGUUUAGAAAUAUAAUUAUAUUCUAUAACCCCUCAACGACUACACGCCGAACAACCAUUAUUGGUUGAUGAUAUAGUCUGAUCUUUUAGGCGACUAAAAGGAUUUCAAGAAGAGGGAUGAUAAGGUAAAACUUAAAAACUUUUUGAAGUCAUAAAUUCUUAUCUUCAUAUACUGUAAGGGAAUUAUGUUCUAAUAAAUAAAAAAAUAUAUGAUAUUUUUUCCCGAAUUCAAUCAACUACAGGUGGAUUUACUUAUUGGUACUUUAUUAGGGAGAUGGAAACCUUCAGAACGUUGGGCAGAAUGGAGAUACAGAGUAGUUCAAAAAACAGCACAUAUUGAUUUUGGUAAAUUUCAAAUAUGACAUUUUAAAAGACUGGGUAGUACUCCACCGAAAAUUCAACAAGUGAAAGCUAAAAAUGGAAAAGAAAUUUCUCGAUGUGUAUUUAAUACACUAUCAAGUCCAAAUUUCGAUCGUUUUGCAAAUCUUUUUUAUAAAAAAAAUACAGAGACAAAUUUAUGGACAAAAAAAGUUCCAGAAGAUAUUGCAAAGUAUUUAACCCCGAGGGCUAUUGCGUUUUGGUAUAUGGAUGAUGGGGCAUUAAAAUGGCAAGGGAAAUCGAAUGCGGUUAGAUUUUGUACAGAUUCUUUUUCACACGAUGAAGUAAUUUUACUCCAAAAUACGUUGGCUAAGUUUAAUAUUGAAACUACUUUACAAAAGCAACGUGAGACUGAACGUAUUUGUACAAAAGAGACUUCUUAUGAAGCUCUUGCAUCUGUCAUAACUCCUUAUUUAAUACCAUCAAUGUACUACAAAUUUCCUGAUGGAAACAAAGGAAUUUUUCAUGGUGAACAAAUUGGUAGGGAACUUUAUGAUUUUGGCGACCCGAUUUUUAAUACUGAAUCAAAUUCAGAUAUUCAAGAACCAGAUCUAAUGCCGAAUCUCUUAGAUUCAUUUUAUUAACAUUAUUGCGAUGUCGGCUCAUCGCAUCCUGGGGCGGAAGUACGUCCCAAGGGUUGGGCUGUUCGCCCAUUAAAGCGGUACGUGAGCUGGGUUCAGAACGUCGCGAGACAGUUCGGUCCAUAUCCGGCGUGGGCGUUAGAGUAUUGAGAGUGACCUUUCUCUAGUACGAGAGGACCGAGAAAGAUGUACCGCUGGUGUACCAGUUCUUGUGCCAACAGGAAAUGCUGGGUAGCUAAGUACAGUUAGGAUAACCGCUGAAAGCAUCU